AUAAACGCUGGCGGCGUGCAUGAGACAUGCAAGUCGAACGCAGGAUCGGGCUUGCUCGAUCCUUAGUGGCGGACGGCUGAGUAACGCGUAGGUGACCUACCCCGAAGUGGGGAAUAACUGCCCGAAAGGGUGGCUAAUACCGCAUGUGGUCGCACGUUCAUUCGUGCGAGUAAAGCCGCAAGGCGCUUCGGGAGGGGCCUGCGUCCGAUUAGCUCGUUGGUGGGGUAAUGGCUUACCAAGGCGACGAUCGGUAGGUGGUCUGAGAGGACGAUCACCCAGACUGGGACUGAGACACGGCCCAGACUCCUACGGGAGGCAGCAGUCGGGAAUUUUGCUCAAUGGGGGAAACCCUGAAGCAGCAACGCCGCGUGAGGGAUGAAGGCCUUCGGGUUGUAAACCUCUUUUGUCAGGGACGAUGAUGACGGUACCUGGCGAAUAAGCCACGGCUAACUACGUG
This 457-nucleotide ribosomal RNA is filed under the name uncultured bacterium. Its description in RNAcentral is "partial 16S ribosomal RNA". It matches the Rfam family "Bacterial small subunit ribosomal RNA", at positions 29 to 507 of the family's 1533-position model. The record is from RNAcentral.